RNAcentral lists this long non-coding RNA (2394 nucleotides) under Mytilus galloprovincialis (Mediterranean mussel). Lineage: Eukaryota; Metazoa; Mollusca; Bivalvia; Mytilida; Mytilidae. The record is from RNAcentral.
AGACAGGGUAUAUACUGUGACAUUCCCGGCUUAGAGUUUAUAUCCCCUGAGCCGAAGGCGAAGGGAUAUAAGCCCUAAGCCGGGAAUGUCACAGUAUAUACCCUUUCUGAGACCUGAAUUACACAUAUAUUACGGAUUACCCCUGACUUAAUGAUAUUUUCCUGUGCAGGUAUUUGUUGACAACACAUAUAUAUUGAAAAACCUAACCUGAUAUGUUCGGCAUACGUGAAGGAUUUUCUAAUUUGCUGUGAACAUAAUUUUAUCGUGUAUGUAAUAAUUUAUAAUAACACUUUUAACAUUAAAUUUAAGUAUUAAAGUGUAAAAUGCGUGAUUUUGUAUCAAAAAUGUAUUAUUGACUGAAGCACGUCAUUAUUUUCCCUCUGUGAGCCUUUGACAGUCUGAUAGCUUUUGACUACGUCACAUAGUAACCGGUGUUAUGAUGACGUUUUUGAGGUUCCAAUUGGGGAUAAAAACCCCGGCAGUUUCCUGAAUAUAUACUGACAUCUCUGUGUUGUUAUCCAAUCACAAACCUCGACACAUUUGUAAUCCGUAAUAUAUACUGACAUCUCUGUGUUGUUAUCCAAUCACAAACCUCGACACAUUUGUAAUCCGUAAUAUAUACUGAUGUUAUUUUCGCUAUUCAGGUCUAAGACAGGGUAUAUACUGUGACAUUCCCGGCUUAGAGUUUAUAUCCCCUGAGACCUGAAUUACACAACCCCUGACUUAAUGUGAAUGAUUAUAUAAUACACAUUUGUAAUUCGAUAUAUAUAUAUAUAUAUAUAUAUAUAUAUGUAAGACUCAGAUCGACGUCCGGUCUCUAAUCGACGUCCGUUUCUCAAAUCGACGUCCAAAUCUGACGUCACAAUAAAAUAUCGUUCCAAAUCGACGGCCAAUUUUAUGCCUAUUUAAUCGACGUCCAUUUUUUGGUUUCUCUAAUCGACUUCCAAUUUUUAACUUCUUUAAUCAACAUCCGUUUUGAACACAUAGUACAAAAUUAAUCAGAACCCACAGCAGCUGAAACCUUUAGAGACUUAAACAUAUGUGUGACAAAUAGAAUCUAUUUUAAAAAAAAUGCUGUUUUUUUUUAGAGGUUUAUUACAUACUAGACUAAAUAUGCAAACAGGUUGUGUUAUCAUUUUUUUUAAUUUUAGAGAUUAUAUAAAAAUAAAGAGAUGUGGUAUGACAUGAAUAAUAUAAACAAUUUGAAUAAGAAAAUUAACGGGCUUAUUUAUAAAAAAAAAUCUGAAAAACAAAUAUGACAGACACAAACCAUCGAAAACCACUGUAUUACAGGCUCAUAAAGAUUAUGUUAGGGUUAAGCAUGUGUGUGAGUACUUAACCUAUAACAGUUGUGUAAUAGCACAACAUAAAAACAUAAUGCCAAUUUCUUGCGUACAUGUUUUACUCCAGGUGUAAAACUAAAAAAAAGUUUGAAAAAUAUCUUACAUAGUCCGAAUUAUAAUACUAAAAAAACAACAAUUGGCUGUACUUCCUUAUUUGGUCUAUUGUUGAAAAUUGAAUAAUUCCCCUUUAUAUAUCGUUUGGUUUUCUUUGUCGUUAAGUUGCUUUCUCCUUCACAUACACUUACAUGCAUGUCAUUUAUUAACAUGAAUAGGAAUGACAAAUUACUAUGUAGAUCGAUUCAAUUAACUUUUUAUCAAGAUAAACUUGAACCCUACAAAACAUGUACAUGUAUAAGCGUAAACAAUUGAUAUAAAAAAGAAGAUGUGGUAUGAAUGCCAAUGAGAAAACUCUCCACAAGAGACCAAAAUGACGUAAAUUAACAACUAUAGGUCACCGUACGGCUUUCAAUAAUGAACAAAGCCCAUAACGCAUAGUCAGCUAUAAAAGGCCCCGAAAUGACAAUGUAAAACAAUUCAAAAGAGAAAACUAACAGCCUUAGUUAUGUCCAGUAAUUUAUUAUUUAUUGAUAUUGGACAUCAAUUUAAGACGACUACAAUCGACUAAAAUCAAUCGGGUGUAGUUUUGGCAAUACAUGCCGUCACAUUGGACGUAGAUUAGAGUAUCAAAGUAUUGGACGUCGAUUUGAGAAUGUGACGUCAGAUUUGGACGUCGAUUUGAGAAACGGACGUCGAUUUGAGGAAAGGACGUCGAUUAGAGGCCGGACGUCGAUCUGAGUCUAACAUAUAUAUAUAUAUAUAUAUAUAUAUUAUAUGUUAUUCAGGUCUCAGAUAGGGUAUAUACUGUGACAUUCCCGGCUUAAGAGUUUAUAUCCCCUGAGCCGAAGGCGAAGGGGAUAUAAGCCCUAAGCCGGGAAUGUAACAGUAUAUACCCUUUCUGAGACCUGAAUUACACAUAUAUUACGGAUUACCCCUGACUUAAUGUUAUUUUCCAGUGCAGGUAUUUGUUGACAACACAUAUAUAUUGAAAAAC